AAUGAACGCUGGCGGCAGGCCUAACACAUGCAAGUCGAGGGGUAGAACUCUUCUCUGCUUGUGACCUACCCACGGAUGCGUGACUCAUGUGCAAUCAUAUCCUUAUACUUAAGGGAUAGACCACAUCACAUUUGGAUAUGUACCUUCACUGGUACAUACCUUCGGCAUCAAGUUUAGUUAUCUUCAUUUCUUGCUCUAAUAUAAGAAUCCAUCCCAUAAUAUCUAUGUGGAGGGAACAACUUCCCCCGACGAUACAUAUCUGAUGGGUCCUCAGAGAGGAUAUACCCCCACACUGUGUACAUCGUAGACACCGACCACACAUCCUCCCGGAAGGAACCAUGAGGAAUAUAUGGUCACAUGGACGGAAAUCUUAACUCACCCCUGCCCCGUGGAGGAUAGAAACAUCUAUGGUGUGUAAACUGCUUUUGUACAGGAAGAAGAUACCUUACUUGUUAUGCACUGACUGUGCCAUAUUACUCAAGAUCGGCUAACUCCUUGCUCUCUGCCGCCGUACUACGGAAUAUCCAAGCGUUAUCCGGAAUCCUUGAUUUUUAAGGGGUCCGUACGCGGUCUUAUAACUCAUCGGUGAAAUGUUUUGGCUUACCAAAUUAAUUGCCAUUGAUACUGCUAGGCUUGAAUUAUUGUGAAGUAACUAGAAUAUGUAGUGUAGCGGUGAAAUGCUUAGAUAUCUGAUGGGAAUACCGAUUGCGAAGGCAGGCUUCUGGCACUGGUAUUGACGCUGAUGGGCGAAAGCGUGGGUAGCGAACAGGAUUAGAUACCCUGGUAGUCCACGCCGUAAACGAUGGCUACUAGCUGUUUGUUCCAUUGGAGCAUUGGCGAAGCAACUGUGAUAAUUAUCCCACCUGCGGAGUACUACCGCCAGCCUGAUACUCCUCGGAUGUGACGGCGGCCCCCCCCACCGGCGGAGCAGCAGGUUUAUUUCUUCGAUGCGCCACGAACCUUUGCUGGGGUUCUUUGCGUUUUGACAGAUCUGCAAACAGAUCCUUUGCAGGACAAACUUCCAGGUGCUGCAUGGUUGUCGUCAGCUCGUGUCGUGAGAUGUCAGGUUAAGUCCUACAACGAGCGCAACCCUUGUCGUUAUUUGCCAGCGAGUGAUGUCGGGAACUCUAACAAGACUGCCAGUGUCAACUGUGAGGAAGGUGGGGAUGACGUCAAGUCAUCACGGCCCUUACGUCCAGGGCCACACACGUGCUACAAUGGUCGGUACAGAGAGCAGCUACCUAGUGAGAGGAUGCGAAUCUAUAAAACCGUUUUCAGUUCGGAUUGGAGUUUGCAACUUGGCUCCCAGAAGGUGGAAUUGGUUGUAAUUGGAGAUCAACCAUGAUCCGGUGAAUACGUUCCCGGGCCU
RNAcentral lists this ribosomal RNA (1369 nucleotides) under uncultured bacterium. Its description in RNAcentral is "bacterial SSU rRNA". It matches the Rfam family "Bacterial small subunit ribosomal RNA", at positions 28 to 1381 of the family's 1533-position model. The record is from RNAcentral.